GUGCCAGUCGCCGCGGUAAUACGUAGGUGGCAAGCGUUAUCCGGAAUUAUUGGGCGUAAAGCGCGCGCAGGUGGUUUCUUAAGUCUGAUGUGAAAGCCCACGGCUCAACCGUGGAGGGUCAUUGGAAACUGGGAGACUUGAGUGCAGAAGAGGAAGGUGGAAUUCCAUGUGUAGCGGUGAAAGGAGUGGAGAUAUGGAGGAACACCAGUGUGGAAGGCGACUUUCUGGUCUGUAACUGACAC
This 242-nucleotide ribosomal RNA is filed under the name uncultured bacterium. RNAcentral describes it as "partial 16S rRNA". It matches the Rfam family "Bacterial small subunit ribosomal RNA", at positions 505 to 746 of the family's 1533-position model. The record is from RNAcentral.